AGUUCGUGGAGCGAUUUGUCUGGUUGAUUCCGUUAACGAACGAGACUCUGACUUGCUAAAUAGUUGCGCGACCCGUUGCUGGUCGGCGCCCGACUUCUUAGAGGGACAAACGGCGUUCAGCCGUACGAGAUUGAGCAAUAACAGG
Molecule: ribosomal RNA, 145 nt
Filed under: Metazoa environmental sample
Lineage: Eukaryota; Metazoa
Description: partial small subunit ribosomal RNA
Rfam family: Eukaryotic small subunit ribosomal RNA
Source: RNAcentral